This 66-nucleotide transfer RNA is filed under the name Seladonia tumulorum. Its description in RNAcentral is "tRNA-Ser". Lineage: Eukaryota; Metazoa; Arthropoda; Insecta; Hymenoptera; Halictidae. The record is from RNAcentral.
AGUUAAUAAGCUUUAAUAGCAUUUAUUUUGAAAAUAUUUCAUAGAUAUAAAACUAUCUAUUAACUU